This 547-nucleotide long non-coding RNA is filed under the name Vigna radiata. RNAcentral describes it as "long non-coding RNA (VRAD_LNC015016)". Lineage: Eukaryota; Viridiplantae; Streptophyta; Magnoliopsida; Fabales; Fabaceae. The record is from RNAcentral.
CCAAAUACUAGACUAAACAAAUAUCUAAACACAGUUAAAACUAUUAAAUUGCAACACUAAUUNAAGAAAUUNAAAUGCUCAUAAUCACAAAACACAUCAUCANGACAAAGAUGCUAAAAGAAAAGAAAAAUUGGUAAGCACAUGACAAAUGGGAAAUCGGAGAUGACAAUAAGUAAAAGGCACAACGUAUGCACCUCCAAACCAAUGAAUCAACUUUUCAUUCCUUGCUGGCCGUGAACGUCACCCUUCCAAACAAUGAAGCAGCGUGCUCUUUUUCCAAGCCAACAAUGCUUCCAUUUCAACUAAAAAUGAGCUUAAAANUAAAUGUAAAUGUUGGGCAGCUAUUCCCCAUCGUACUAUCACUUUCUCCAAGCAAAUUUCUUCUCUCAACAUCACCACCGUACACCAUGUAUUUAAUCCCAUCUAAUCACCUCUUCAAUCUUAAAUAAAUAAAAGAAAAGAACCUAGAUAUACCUACAACUACCUACCGCCACACAUCCUAUUCCAUCUAAUCUAAUUCCAAUUUCAUCUACUAAUAAAAAGAAAA